Molecule: ribosomal RNA, 479 nt
Filed under: uncultured Bacteroidota bacterium
Lineage: Bacteria; Pseudomonadati; Bacteroidota
Description: bacterial SSU rRNA
Rfam family: Bacterial small subunit ribosomal RNA
Source: RNAcentral
UAAGGAAUAUUGGACAAUGGGCGCAAGCCUGAUCCAGCCAUGCCGCGUGCAGGAUGAAAGUGCUCUGCACUGUAAACUGCUUUUACUUGGGAAAAAACCCCUGGUUUACACCGGGGCUGAUUGUACCGAGAGAAUAAGGGACGGCUAACUUCGUGCCAGCAGCCGCGGUAAUACGAAGGUCCCAAGCGUUAUCCGGGUUUAUUGGGUUUAAAGGUGCGUAGGCGGGCUAUUAAGUCAGUGGUGAAAGCCCCAAGCUUAACUUGGGAACUGCCAUUGAUACUGAUGGUCUUGAGUACAUUUGAGGUGGGCGGAAUGUGUCAUGUAGCGGUGAAAUGCUUAGAUAUGACACAGAACACCGAUUGCGAAGGCAGCUCACUAAACUGUAACUGACGCUGAGGCACGAAAGCGUGGGGAGCAAACAGGAUUAGAUACCCUGGUAGUCCACGCCCUAAACGAUGAUCACUCGAUGUGUGCGAUAU